UGGAUGAUGUGGAUUAAUUCGAUGCAACGCGAAAAACCUUACCUACCCUUGACAUGUCCGGAAUCCUGCAGAGAUGCGGGAGUGCCCGAAAGGGAAUCGGAACACAGGUGCUGCAUGGCUGUCGUCAGCUCGUGUCGUGAGAUGUUGGGUUAAGUCCCGCAACGAGCGCAACCCUUAUCAUUAGUUGCUACGCAAGGGCACUCUAAUGAGACUGCCGGUGACAAACCGGAGGAAGUGGGGAUGACGUCAAGUCCUCAUGGCCCUUAUGGGUAGGGCUUCACACGUCAUACAAUGGUCGGUACAGAGGGUUGCCAAGCCGCGAGGUGGAGCCAAUCCCAGAAAGCCGAUCGUAGUCCGGAUUGUUCUCUGCAACUCGAGAGCAUGAAGUCGGAAUCGCUAGUAAUCGCGGAUCAGCAUGUCGCGGUGAAUACGUUCCCGGGUCUU
RNAcentral lists this ribosomal RNA (444 nucleotides) under uncultured Thiobacillus sp. RNAcentral describes it as "bacterial SSU rRNA". It matches the Rfam family "Bacterial small subunit ribosomal RNA", at positions 933 to 1382 of the family's 1533-position model. Lineage: Bacteria; Pseudomonadati; Pseudomonadota; Betaproteobacteria; Nitrosomonadales; Thiobacillaceae. The record is from RNAcentral.